CCUACGGGUGGCAGCAGUGAGGAAUCUUGGUCAAUGGACGCAAGUCUGAACCAGCCAUGCCGCGUGCAGGAAGACGGCUCUAUGAGUUGUAAACUGCUUUUGUACGAGGGAAAACGCAGAUACGCGUAUCUUUCUGCAAGUAUCGUACGUAUAAGGAUCGGCUAACUCCGUGCCAGCAGCCGCGGUAAUACGGAGGAUUCAAGCGUUAUCCGGAUUUAUUGGGUUUAAAGGGUGCGUAGGCGGUCGGAUAAGUUAGAGGUGAAAUCCCGAGGCUCAACUUGGGAGUUGCCUCUGAUACUGGGAGGCUAGAGAGUAGUUGCGGUAGGCGGAAUGUAUGGUGUAGCGGUGAAAUGCUUAGAGA
This 361-nucleotide ribosomal RNA is filed under the name uncultured bacterium. RNAcentral's name for it is "partial 16S ribosomal RNA". It matches the Rfam family "Bacterial small subunit ribosomal RNA", at positions 338 to 696 of the family's 1533-position model. The record is from RNAcentral.